GCGGGAAUAGCUCAGUUGGUAGAGCGCGACCUUGCCAAGGUUGAGGUCGCGGGUUCGAGUCCCGUUUCCCGCUCCA
Molecule: transfer RNA, 76 nt
Filed under: Candidatus Cloacimonadota bacterium
Lineage: Bacteria; Pseudomonadati; Candidatus Cloacimonadota
Also listed under: 1 other name
Description: tRNA-Gly
Rfam family: tRNA
About the family: Transfer RNA (tRNA) molecules are approximately 80 nucleotides in length. Their secondary structure includes four short double-helical elements and three loops (D, anti-codon, and T loops).
Source: RNAcentral